RNAcentral lists this ribosomal RNA (447 nucleotides) under Triticum aestivum (bread wheat). RNAcentral's name for it is "partial small subunit ribosomal RNA". The record is from RNAcentral. Lineage: Eukaryota; Viridiplantae; Streptophyta; Magnoliopsida; Poales; Poaceae.
AUGCCAAGAACGUUGGCCUUGAUGGCUGUGCAGAGGCACACGGCUGCGUCGAGGUCGGCGAGGCCGCUUAGCAGUGGGCAGCACUGCUCGCUCGCCGGCACGCCGAGGUUGAGCUUCAGCAGGUUCAGUACGUUGGCGCACGCGCUCAGCUUCAACGUGUUGAUCGAACAAGUGCCGCCGCCGCCAGGGGUUGGUACUGGGACGGCCGGCGGGGGCACGGCGAUUGGCGGGGUUGGUACUGGGACAGCCGGCGGGGGCACGGCGAUCGGCGGGGUUGGCACUGGGACGGCUGGCGGUGGUACGGCGAUCGGCGGCGUUGGGACUGGCACGGACGGCGUGUUGCCGCACGAUCCGCAACCGUGCGAGGUUCCCACGAGGACCAGGCUCAGGGCGAGGAAGAGGGUGAGCUUGGAGGGCGCCAUUGCUACGAAGCUAGUAGCUAGCUAG